This 2180-nucleotide long non-coding RNA is filed under the name Olea europaea (common olive). RNAcentral describes it as "long non-coding RNA (OEUR_LNC000698)". The record is from RNAcentral. Lineage: Eukaryota; Viridiplantae; Streptophyta; Magnoliopsida; Lamiales; Oleaceae.
GUACUUUCAGUGGCGAAAAUAUACCCCUCGAUGAUAGAGAAGGUUACAUAAUGCAGAAUUAUAGAUCCAUUGAAGGCCUGGCAUCACCUAGAUAUAUGGGAAUGUUUUCUCCAAAAAGGCUAUUCUCACCAAAAUCCUACUUUUCUAGAUGAAGUUAAUUACAUGUUGUGGAUGCGAAUACAUAAUUUGUAAGUUUCGUAGUAUUGUGUUUUAAGAGUGCAAUAAUUUAGGCAUAUCGAAGUUGUAUAUUAAUCAUCUAAGACUGCUUUUUAAUACUCAAUUUCAGUAUUGUUAAUUAAUGGCUUGUACAAUUCGUGCUGAAAUGCUUGAUUGGUCCACUCAAGAAAUGGAAAUUGAAAACUUUCUGGUUUUUCUUUUCUUCCUUUUUAAUUCCAAUUUUUAGUUAGUUCAUGUAAUUUUUGGAAUUCAAUGUUUUUCCAAAUUCGAGUUACAUCAAUUUCUAUGGUUCCUAGUUGAUGGUGCAUGCCAAUAGUCCAACCCACUCGAUCUCAUGUACCUAAUUAAUGGUCUCUAGCGUUAUCUGUCUAGUUGAUAGCUGAAGAGAGGCAUGCAAGUGAUGGUACCAAUCAACUCAAAUUUGAUAAUUGUAUGAAAGAGUCAAGAUUUGUUGUCACGAGGUUGCUUUCUCCAUAGGCACAUUGCACAUUGGUACAAUUUUUGACACAUCAACACAUUACAGAUUGACAUCUUUUCAUUUACUAUAAAAAGGUAAUGCAUUAAGGUGUCGAAAAUGUAUUGAUGGAACAGUCAAGGGACAAUAAUUUCAGAGUAACGUAUCUGGACUUCAUUUGUAGUAUCUUCGGUAUUUUUCUUCUCAUCACGAGAUAAAUAUAUACUUGUGCUGAUUUAUUCAAAUUUUAGUCUAAUUGUUUGCACAAAAAUUCAGUUCACUUGCUAGCAGGUUCGAUCAUAAAAAAAUAAAGCCAUGUUUGAUGUGGAUUAAAAUCUUGAUAAAAAUUUAAGUUAAGGUCAAGUUUUAAUUUUGAGCUUUAACUACAUAUUUUAUAGGACUCAAAACUUUUCAACCUCACAUUUCAACUUUAAAAUAAAUAAAUAAAUCAAAAUCUACUAAAAUUUUGAUUUUUAACUACACCUAAAUAUGGGCUAAAAUUACAAGGUGUAGGUGCUUGGAUCAGUCUAACCCAUCUCCACUCUCCCACCCAACCCUCAGCCUGAAAAUGCCUCCUAAGCUCAUGUUUGAGCCACAUUCUACAAAAGAAAUACAUUAUUCAUGUCAAAUCAAUAGAAAAUAUGUGGUUAAAAAAUAAGAAAUUUUUUUAGAUUUACGUGUAACAUUAUUUUAUUGAAAAAUGUAUGGUUGAAAUGAUGUCAAAUCACUAUUGAAAGAAAAUUAUUUUUUUUGAAAAUAAUAUGGCUCAAACAAGUCCUAAAUUUGUAACCCAACUCGCUUGCCUUGCCACAAUCCCACCCCGCCAUGUAUCCGACUGGAUCAACCUGAUCCUCUACCUUCUCUGUAUUCUCCCCGACUCUGCCUAAAGAUGGCGAUCGUAACUCUUCCUGCAUCAUGAUCGUUUACACACUCGUUCUACUCAUUCUACAAACUGAUGGUAGUUUUGAAGAUCGUAAAUGAUGUCAUCAUUGAGCGCCCAUUUACAACCAUACCUCUUUAAUCGACUAUUGGAGGUAGGGGGCGGAGCAAAGCAAGGGGGAAACAAUGGAUGUUUUCGAGCAGGGAUUGCUGAUGGUGAAAGAGUACUUGUGUGACAAAAUGAAUGGAUCUCAUAAGAACUCCCCCAAGAAAAAAUCAUGGUUUCGAAAGUUGGCAAAAUGUAGUACUUUCAGUGGCGAAAAUAUACCCCUCGAUGAUAGAGAAGGUUACAUAAUGCAGAAUUAUAGAUCCAUUGAAGGCCUGGCAUCACCUAGAUAUAUGGGAAUGUUUUCUCCAAAAAGGCUAUUCUCACCAAAAUCCUACUUUUCUAGAUGAAGUUAAUUACAUGUUGUGGAUGCGAAUACAUAAUUUGUAAGUUUCGUAGUAUUGUGUUUUAAGAGUGCAAUAAUUUAGGCAUAUCGAAGUUGUAUAUUAAUCAUCUAAGACUGCUUUUUAAUACUCAAUUUCAGUAUUGUUAAUUAAUGGCUUGUACAAUUCGUGCUGAAAUGCUUGAUUGGUCCACUCAAGAAAUGGAAAUUGAAAACUUUCU